Molecule: long non-coding RNA, 715 nt
Organism: Ornithorhynchus anatinus (platypus)
Lineage: Eukaryota; Metazoa; Chordata; Mammalia; Monotremata; Ornithorhynchidae
Exons: 4
Source: RefSeq, a predicted model, not a curated record
AAAGCUCGCCGUCGGCAGGAAACGCAUCUACCAACUCUGUUGUACUGGAUUCUCCUAAAGUGCUCAGUCCAACGUGCUGCACACAGGAAGUGCUCAGAGAGCUUGGCUUUUUCACAAUACCAACCUGCCUGUGAGGAAAGGAGGGUCGUGUCAUUGUGCCCAUCUUCCAGAUGAAGAAACUGAGGCUCGGAGAGGUGCCGUGACUUCUGUAACACGAGCAACGACUGUUUGGCGCUGUACGGUACCCAUGGUAGAGUCAAUCCCUGAAUUCAUUUCUAGCACAGUGGAGUGGUUGGAGGGAGGGCCUAGGAGUCAGAAGAUCAAGGGUUUUACUCCCAGCUCUGCCACUUGUCUGCUGUGUGACCUUGGGUACAAUCCCAAUCUUGCCAUCGCUGACCACGAGACGCUCCUGCCCUCCUGGAACUUGGAUCGGGUGUCCGCAAAAUGGAGAUAUGACAGUUUCUGGCUCCUGUUCAUCUGAUCCUUACAGACGGGUCAAGGGAACACAGGAGGGACUCCAUAAAAUCCACUGAAUGAAGUUCAGGAAAACUAUUCCGCCGGGGGACUGAACGAUCCCAGUGAGUUGUGGCAGAGAAUCAAAUUUAGCAGGAGAGUUGUCAACUUUCCAGUGUGCACUACACACCUCCUCUUCCCGCCCCUCAGUCAAUUGUAUUUAUGGAGUGCUUAAUUUAUGCAGAGCACUGUAUUAAGUGCU